RNAcentral lists this ribosomal RNA (622 nucleotides) under uncultured fungus. RNAcentral describes it as "eukaryotic LSU rRNA". The stretch from base 100 to 253 matches the Rfam family "5.8S ribosomal RNA". The record is from RNAcentral. Lineage: Eukaryota; Fungi.
CUGAUGGGCAACGAAGGCCCUCGUCUAUGAAUAUUUUUACAAACGCUCAAAGUAUGACAGAAUGUAUAUCAUAUUGCGUCUGAUAAACGUGACAAAUACAACUUUCAACAACGGAUCUCUUGGCUCUCGCAUCGAUGAAGAACGCAGCGAAAUGCGAUAAGUAAUGUGAAUUGCAGAAUUCAGUGAAUCAUCGAAUCUUUGAACGCACCUUGCGCUCCUUGGUAUUCCGAGGAGCAUGCCUGUUUGAGUGUCAUGAAAUUCUCAACUGCCCCAGGCUUUGUGGCCUGCGGGUGAAGUUGGACUUGGAGGUAUGCUGGCGCAUGAAUGGGCUUUUGUGCCCCGUCUCGCUUGUUGGCUCCUCUCGAAUGCAUGAGCUUUCCAAUCCUUGGCAAAGUAUCGUCGAUGUGAUAAUUGUCUACGUUGCCUGAGAAAGCCGAAAAGGGGAAAUCUUUGAUCACGCUGGGGUGACCUGCGUCUGACAAAUUCGACCUCAAAUCAGGUAGGACUACCCGCUGAACUUAAGCAUAUCAAUAAGCGGAGGAAAAGAAACUAACAAGGAUUCCCCUAGUAACUGCGAGUGAAGCGGGAAAAGCUCAAAUUUAAAAUCUGGCGGCCUCCGGUC